ACGGAGGGUGCAAGCGUUACUCGGAAUCACUGGGCGUAAAGCGCGCGCAGGCGGGUUUGUAAGUUGGAUGUGAAAUCCUAUGGCUCAACCAUAGAACUGCAUCCAAAACUACUUACCUAGAGUCUGGGAGGGGAAGAUGGAAUUAGUUGUGUAGGGGUAAAAUCCGUAGAGAUAACUAGGAAUACCAAAAGCGAAGGCGAUCUUCUGGAACAGUACUGACGCUGAGGCGCGAAAGCGUGGGGAGCAAACAGG
This 252-nucleotide ribosomal RNA is filed under the name uncultured bacterium. RNAcentral's name for it is "partial 16S ribosomal RNA". It matches the Rfam family "Bacterial small subunit ribosomal RNA", at positions 525 to 776 of the family's 1533-position model. The record is from RNAcentral.